UACGGGGGGGGCAAGCGUUGUUCGGAAUUACUGGGCGUAAAGGGCGCGUAGGCGGCUUUUCAAGUCGGGCGUGAAAUCUCCGGGCUUAACCCGGAAGGGUCGUUCGAUACUGUUGAGCUAGAGUGUGGAAGAGGCAACUAGAAUUCCGUGUGUAGCGGUGAAAUGCGUAGAUAUACGGAGGAAUACCUGAGGCGAAGGCGGGUUGCUGGGCCAACACUGACGCUGACGGGCGCGAAAAGCCAGGGGAGCAAACGGG
This 256-nucleotide ribosomal RNA is filed under the name uncultured bacterium. Its description in RNAcentral is "partial 16S ribosomal RNA". It matches the Rfam family "Bacterial small subunit ribosomal RNA", at positions 524 to 776 of the family's 1533-position model. The record is from RNAcentral.